RNAcentral lists this ribosomal RNA (253 nucleotides) under uncultured bacterium. RNAcentral's name for it is "partial 16S ribosomal RNA". It matches the Rfam family "Bacterial small subunit ribosomal RNA", at positions 524 to 776 of the family's 1533-position model. The record is from RNAcentral.
GACGUAGGGGGCCAGCGUUGUUCGGAAUUACUGGGUGUAAAGGGUUCGUAGGCGGUGUGGCAAGUCGGGAGUGAAAUCUCUGGGCUCAACUCAGGGGCUGCUUCCGAAACUGCUGUGCUAGAGUGUGGGAGAGGCGCGUGGAAUUGCAGGUGUAGCGGUGAAAUGCGUAGAUAUCUGCAGGAACACCCGUGGCGAAAGCGGCGCGCUGGACCACUACUGACGCUGAGGAACGAAAGCUAGGGGAGCAAACAGG